Molecule: transfer RNA, 72 nt
Filed under: Camelus dromedarius (Arabian camel)
Lineage: Eukaryota; Metazoa; Chordata; Mammalia; Artiodactyla; Camelidae
Also listed under: 1 other name
Rfam family: tRNA
About the family: Transfer RNA (tRNA) molecules are approximately 80 nucleotides in length. Their secondary structure includes four short double-helical elements and three loops (D, anti-codon, and T loops).
Source: Rfam by way of RNAcentral
GAGGGUACAGCUCAAGUGGUAGAGCGCGUGCUUAGCAUGCAUGAGGUCCUGGGCUCAAUCCCAGUACCUCCU